CGGCCGUCUCUCUCUCUCUCUCUCUCUCACUCACGAAACUCACGAAACCAAACCCUACACUAUUUCUCUCCCGAUCUGAGACUAACCCUCACCUCAUCGGCCGCCGUCGGUGCGCGCUCUCUGUUUCUCUCUCGACUCGUCACUUGGCUCUCUCUCACUCUUAGUCACAUCUUUAAGUCUCUUAGAGUCGCGCGAGACUCAUUCUCUUUCUCCAAACCGAACCAAACAUCAUCCAAUUUUAUUGGUUUUUGGAGCGAAUCCUUGUAAAUUCUGGAGGGCUCUGGUUCAUUCUAAGGUAAUUUGUAUGUAUUUGGUUUGAAUUCUUAGUUGUUUUCAUUUUCCCUAAUUUAGUAGAUUAUUAGGGUUCUGAAAUUUUGGUAUUCUGUUGUAAUUAACACAAUUUGUUCUUAAUUUUGCAGUAGUUGUGCUUAGUCUCUGUGGGUUUGGAUUAAUAGGCAAAAUUGAAGGUAUAAAUAUUUCUGUCUCAAUCUCUAUUUGUGGCUUAAAAUUGAAUGUGUGCAUUAGAAUUACAUAUUUUUAUAUCAUCAGCUCCACAUGGCUUUACUUUCGAUGUAUGGAUUUUUGGUAUUUCUUUCUUUAUGCUUAUGGUUUAGGCUGUUUAGGGGGUCCAAUUUGAGCUGGAUUGUUCCACAAUCUUGUGUGGCUUUAUUCUGCGAGAGGCCUAAGUUGUUUGGUGAUAGUAAGAGGGGUGUGGUUCUGGGGAUAAUUCUUUCGUUUCUAUAUAUUCAGUUUGGAGAGUUGUUUCCUAGUGCCUUGUUCUGUUGUUGUGGAUGCUUGUUUUUGCUGCUUUUGCUGAGAGUUUUUUUUAGUGUAGUGGACUUCUUGUCCUCUGUUUUUGUAUUUGUUUGCUUUAAUCAAUGAAUUCUGUUUCAUAUAAAAUAAAAUAUGAUCUAGUCAUUUAGUGUAAAGUUACCUAGGAGGUACCUGUUAGAAAUCCAUGCAAUAUAUAAAGUGUUAACCUUGCUCAUAAAUAUGGUAUAAUGUUCAUUAAAAUAUUAAUAUAAAAGAAAUGAACGGAUUUUUGAAGAUGCGAGGGGGCAGAAGUGGAGGAGGUGCGGGAAAAAGCAAAGUACUGGGCAGUGCUGUAGGCUUCUGUUUCUCCUAUUUUUGGGAAUUCAUCUCUUUCAACCAUUUUGCUUGAUUGGGCUGCAGUGUCUUCAUUAGGAUUGUUUUUCUCAUAGUUGUAAAUGUCGGUACUAGUUUUCUUGUUUCCUUCUAUUAUUGCUGGAAUACUUGUCCACUUUUCUGUAUGGUUUUUUAAUGAAAAAAAAAUUUCUCCCUUUCUUUAAAAAAAUAUUUAUAUAUAUAAUAUAAAAGAAAUCUGCAUAUACUGCCGCUUUUUAAUUAUUUAUUAUUGCAAAUUUGUGGACCUAGAACCUUAGGGGAAGUAGACGAUUGGGUAACUAGUUCACUUAUUUUAUUUUGAUGUGAUUAAAUUGCACUUUAGAUGAUUAUUGAAACUUUUUUGGGUAGUUAGUUUAAUGUGUUUUUCUGGUGGAAUUUCAUUAAUUUAAUAAUUUGUUUGUAACCUAUCUUUGCUGUUGCUGUUUUGAGUGAAGCUUGUUUAUGGAACGAAUGAAGUUUGUUUGUAACCUAACCCUUUUUUUGAUUUCAUUCACAGUUGUUUAGCGUCGCUGCUGCUGCUGCUGCUGCCUGCUGCCUCCUGCUGCUGCUGCUGGUAUUCUGAGCUUUGAAAGUUUGGAAAAUUUUGCUUAAAUGGAGGUAAAUAUUCGUUGCUGCUGCUAAUCUCUUUAAAUCUGUUUCUGUAAUCUGUAUAAAUCUGUUUUUGUAAUAUGUUUAAAUCUGUUUUUGUAAUCUGUAUAAAUCUGUUUUUGUAAUAUGUUUAAAUCUGUUUUUGUAAUCUGUUUAAAUCUGUUUUUGUAAUCUGUUUUUGUUUAAAUCUGUUUUUGUAAUCUGUAUAAAUAUGUGUUUGUAAUCUGUGUUUGUAAUCUGUUUUUGUAAUCUGUUUUUGUUUAAAUCUGUGUUUGUAAUCUGUUUAAAUCUGUGUUUGCAAUCUGUGUUUGUAAUCUAUUUUUGUAAUCUGUUUUUGUAAUCUGUUUUUAUAAUCUGUUUUUGCAAUCUGUUUUUAUAAUCUGUUUUUGUAAUCUGUUUUUGUAAUCUGAUUUUUGGAUAGGAUAUAUGUUUAGGGAGUUGUAUGCAUAGGAAAAUCUGUUUUGACAGUUUAAAUGUGUUUUUUUUAAUAGGAUAUAUGUUUAUGUUUUAAUAUGUUUAUGGUUUUAAAUAUGGCUGUGUUUAAAUAUGGUUUUAAACUGUUUAUGAAUAGGAACCUGCUUCUAAUGAGGCUGAAAUGCAUGGGAAUGAUGAUUCUAUACCUUGUAAUGAUGCUGUUGUACCUCCUACAGCAGCAUCACAAAAUCCAUUGAAAUGGGUAAUAUUUUCAUUUCUAUAUGUAUAUUUGAAUCCGAUUAUUUUCUUAUUUUUAUGUGUUCUAACUCAAAUUGGUUUGAUUUAUUUUAUUAUAUUUUGUAGAAAUGGGGAGUAAAACAUCCAUGACAAAUUUGAAUAAGACUCUCCCUUCUUAGUGUGAUUAAGAUAUGUUGGAAGGGAUUUUUAUUGCAUCUUAUUUUAAUUAUGAUUUGUUGAUGGUGAAACUUUGUGUUAAUUCUUUUAAGUGUUGUGUAGGUUGCUUUGUGAAGGCUUUUGGAAGAAUGGAUGCAGCAUAUUUUUUUGCAAGGAUAUUAUCUCUAUGUGUAUUUUUGUGAUGGGUUGUAAUCUUUAAUGUCAUAAGUUUAAUUUGGUUGGUGUAUUAUUUUUUGUAAUGGUUUGUAAGAGAUUAUAUUUCCUUUCCUUGGUUGGUUGGUUGAAUGUGUGUGUGAG
Molecule: small RNA, 2859 nt
Filed under: Prunus dulcis (almond)
Lineage: Eukaryota; Viridiplantae; Streptophyta; Magnoliopsida; Rosales; Rosaceae
Description: sRNA ncRNA
Source: RNAcentral